GAGGAUAGAGGCGCGGCGCUCAUGCGUACCGCGGGACAAGGCCAGGCAGCCGUCCCGUGGGAGAGGGUGCGCCGCCGAAGGUUUCCUUGGCCUGCCUGGGCGGGGGGACCUGGGCCGCGGGAGAAGAUCCCACGGACUGUCACAGAUUUGUGGAGCGCUAUCC
RNAcentral lists this non-coding RNA (163 nucleotides) under uncultured Lawsonibacter sp. RNAcentral's name for it is "Lysine riboswitch". It matches the Rfam family "Lysine riboswitch aptamer". From Rfam's summary of the family: Riboswitches are metabolite binding domains within certain messenger RNAs that serve as precision sensors for their corresponding targets. Allosteric rearrangement of mRNA structure is mediated by ligand binding, and this results in modulation of gene expression. Lineage: Bacteria; Bacillati; Bacillota; Clostridia; Eubacteriales; Oscillospiraceae. The record is from RNAcentral.